This 407-nucleotide ribosomal RNA is filed under the name uncultured bacterium. RNAcentral's name for it is "bacterial SSU rRNA". It matches the Rfam family "Bacterial small subunit ribosomal RNA", at positions 355 to 776 of the family's 1533-position model. The record is from RNAcentral.
CCGAGAAUAUUGGACAAUGGGGGAAACCCUGAUCCAGCGACACCGCGUUUAGGAAGAAGGUUUUCGAAUCGUAAACUAAUUUUGCAAGGGAAGAAGUAACUGACUGUACCUUGCGAAUAAGGGGUUGCUAACUCUGUGCCAGCAGCAGCGGUAAUACAGAGACCCCAAGCGUUAUCCGGAUUUAUUGGGUGUAAAGAGCUGGUAGGUGGUUAUAUUAGUCAGAUGUCAAAUCUUCGAGCUCAACUCGAAAACUGCAUUUGAAACGGUAUAACUAGAGGGUGUGAGAGAUCUAUGGAACUCAUGGUGUAGCAGUGAAAUGCGUUGAUAUCAUGAGGAACACCAAAGGCGAAGGCAUUAGAUUGGCACAUUCCUGACACUGAGCAGCGAAAGCGUGGGUAGCGAAUGGG